CGUAGUGAUCUCAGGUUGGAGGAAUACUUAUAUUCAUAUCCUUUGCAAGCUACUCUUAACAAUAAAGUGCUCAGCAGUUGGUCACGUUCAAUGAGAUGUAUCCCUAUGUCUCACUUGCAUGCUAUACCAGUGUCUCCACACUGUUUGGUUAAGAGGACAACCAACAUACAUGGCACACAAUGACCUAUACUUAAUAUAGCAUAUCAUUUGGCCGUGAACUAAGUUUUUAAGAAGUAAAUGAUAUAUCCUCGUAUAUCGAUUCAAAUAAUCCUAAGAACUUCAUCACAAAAUAGGAGUUCAAAUAAAAUAUAUACAGA
Molecule: long non-coding RNA, 317 nt
Filed under: Elaeis guineensis (African oil palm)
Lineage: Eukaryota; Viridiplantae; Streptophyta; Magnoliopsida; Arecales; Arecaceae
Description: long non-coding RNA (EGUI_LNC052945)
Source: RNAcentral